This 66-nucleotide transfer RNA is filed under the name Pithecia chrysocephala (golden-faced saki). Its description in RNAcentral is "tRNA-Tyr". It matches the Rfam family "tRNA". Rfam says of the family: Transfer RNA (tRNA) molecules are approximately 80 nucleotides in length. Their secondary structure includes four short double-helical elements and three loops (D, anti-codon, and T loops). Further hydrogen bonds mediate the characteristic L-shaped molecular structure. tRNAs have two regions of fundamental functional importance: the anti-codon, which is responsible for specific mRNA codon recognition, and the 3' end, to which the tRNAs corresponding amino acid is attached (by aminoacyl-tRNA synthetases). tRNAs cope with the degeneracy of the genetic code in two manners: having more than one tRNA (with a specific anti-codon) for a particular amino acid; and 'wobble' base-pairing, i.e. permitting non-standard base-pairing at the 3rd anti-codon position. Lineage: Eukaryota; Metazoa; Chordata; Mammalia; Primates; Pitheciidae. The record is from RNAcentral.
GGUAAAAUGGCUGAGUAAGGCAUUAGACUGUAAAUCUAAAGACAGAGGGAUAGUCCUCUUUUUACC